AAGAAAAUAGUUCCAAAACAUAUUUGAAUAAGGAGGACAACGAAAUGUAUUUAUUUACAUUGAGAACUUUUGCUACAUCGGUUUUACAUUUGUUAAACCGAUGUAGCACUCUCAAAAAUUAAUCUUGUGUUUCUUGGAAAACGUAAAAUGACCCGCGGAUGGAUAUGGGGUUUCAAAAUCAAGCCUGUUCUCUUCAUCAGUCCGUUGGCGCGGAGUCUGCCUGUUGGCUGAUCUACGAAAGAAUCUCGAGGAUCUUUGUGAGGAGCCCGUGGAGCUUGGCACAGGUGGAGGAGCAGCAGAAUCUUCAGUCUACGCUAGAUUGACUGCUAGAUGGUUGCAUACACCGGGGUUUUGUCGCCUCAUUCGAGAACUCACCAGUGAAUACCUGCCUGCUCGCUCCGCCGAUUCCACUGCCUCCACUCCACCCUUCGAGCUUCCAGCUCUCUUCCAUUCCCACCUCGCAUUUACCUUCAGAACCGCUGCACACCCUCUCUCAGGAACCUGGCAUCUCACACCCACGCCUCGAAAGACCCGCACCGAAGCUUCAAGAGGAUCAGCGUGUGAAGAUCACUUUAUAAUGAUUUGAAAAAGGUUGCCAUGGCUACAGAAAUUGGAGGAGCAUCCUUAGAUGACACAAUACAACCAGCUGUGCGAUUCCUCAUGUCCCAUGAACUGGAAGUCCAGUUCAACCUUUUUGGCCAACAUUGGAAACAAGCUCUUGGACCUGCGUCUCUUUGAUGUUUUGUAUGGGGACUUAAAAGAAAUUAUCCAUCUACAGAAUCACACAAGCAUACAGCAAAGACUCUCGAAGUGGUUUACUGGAGCCCGAGUGGAAGUGGAAAUAGACUAGAGAGACUGCCAGUUCAAACUCAGGUUGGGGAGGUCUUUCAAGAUGGACAGUUUCAGUAAAGUAUGAGAGAUUUCAAAUUUAAGCAUGCAUAUGGCAUGUAGGUUAUUUUUUAAAAAUGUUUAACAAAAAUGUAUUGUGAAAGAUCUAUAUAGGUGUGUAUAUUCACAUUGUGUGUAUCAAUGUGAAUAUACGUGUAUAAAGUUAUAUAGAUAGUAUUUAGAUGUAUACAUUUAUAGACCUGUAGGAAAAUAUGUAGGUGUCUUUAUUUGUGUGCAUCUAUAGAUAUAUAUUUAUAGAUCUGUUUAUAAGUUUGUUAUAGUAAACUAGCUUCUGUUAUUUUCAAAGAUGUCGUGAAUAAUUGCAGAUUUCUUUUUGUGGCACCAUUCCCUGAGUAUUAAUGAAGUUCUAAUAAUUGCUGUAGUGAGGUAAAAAAUAACUCCUGACAA
Molecule: long non-coding RNA, 1296 nt
Organism: Poeciliopsis prolifica (blackstripe livebearer)
Lineage: Eukaryota; Metazoa; Chordata; Actinopteri; Cyprinodontiformes; Poeciliidae
Exons: 6
Source: RefSeq, a predicted model, not a curated record